Long non-coding RNA from Chinchilla lanigera (long-tailed chinchilla), 269 nucleotides. RefSeq lists it as uncharacterized. The record is from RefSeq and is a predicted model, not a curated record. NCBI's taxonomy places the organism in Eukaryota, Metazoa, Chordata, Mammalia, Rodentia, Chinchillidae. The transcript has 2 exons.
GCAGAAGCUGCUGAUGGAGAACUCUGUAGGGACAGGAGGGCGGGCGGGAGAGGCCCGAUCAGGGAGCAGAUACGGAUAGAGAAAGUGGCAGGAAAUUAAAGCGAGAAACCCUGGGCCGAGAGACAGCGGCUCUGUGCUGCAGAGCUUUAAGAAGCCGGCACACAUUUCCGACCUCCACGGCGCCUCGACCCCAAGGCAGGCUGCACUCUCCAAGCUCUUGGCUGCGCUGGACCUCAUGAGGCAAAUAAAUUACUCCCCUGCCUCCUGCA